UCGACAUCGGCGAAUUUCAUCAAAAACCUCACUCACCCAAGAGCUCCCAACAAAUCCCUACCGCAGCCAAAAACUCAGACCAGACCAGGUUCAUCUGAGAGCCGUGAGAAAUGAAACCAAAAAUGCCGAGAAGGUCCAAGGCCAAAACCGCCGCAUCCAAAUCUGUCGCCGCCCCGUCCCGCAGCGUUUCGUCGGGCAAUGCCUCGCCGUUUUUUUUCGACCUACGUGGCGCCGACGGUUCAUUGGGCUCUUCUCCUUCCCCUUCCGUUAACCCUCCUGCUUCCAGCCCUACAAUCGAUGCCUCGCAUUCACGAGGCCCUCCUAGAUCUUUAGUUGCAGCCGAGGACGAAACAACGACUAAUCGACUCAUUAUUGAUCUCAUGGAUAGCAGAUUGCGUGAAAAUGCCCUUGCCCAUCUUGCUAGGAGAGCGCGGGGAUUCCAGGAUUUUGCCGUACGCUUAUGGUUUUCUUUUGGUACAAUUGCCAUACUCUUACAGGAAGUGCUUUCCGUGUAUCCAUUUUUGUCACCACCAUCUCUAACUCCCAUACAGUCUGAUAGAUUGUGCAAUGUUCUGACACUUAUUCAGUGCGUUGCCUCUCACCAAGAGACUAGAUCUUUGUUCGUUCAAGCCUACUUGCCCUUCUAUUUGGUUUUGCUUCUCAACCAGAUAGGUGAAUUGAGGUGUUUUGAGCGCAUAAGGAUCCUUACACUGGGAAUAAUAGCUGCUCUGGUACAGGUAGCGACAUUAAUUCUGAAAAGAAUUUUGCUUGAUGAUAAUGGGUUACAACAUGUGUGUCGGAGGCCAGAUUUGUUAUUGUCUGUGUGGCAAGCACUUGGGACUGUGGUUGCUUCACUUUCUCAGCUGCCUUCGACUCCACUGCUAAGAGAUGUCAUCACUUGCUACCUAUGCCUCUUUAAAAAUGAAAGAAGUUUAGCACUGAGGCAGUCGCUUCCGAGAAGCCUUAUUGAUGGCACAUUUCGCUACUGUUGUAACGAUUAUCGCACAAGAUUAUUGCUUCAAGAGUUGUUGGACCAGACCCGAUUAUCUCCAAUAGCCCAAAAAGAUCAUUACAAAAUUCAGCACGGUAUUUCCACCAUCUCAACGAGCACUGUUCUUCAGAGGCUAUUGACAUUGAUUGGUUCAAGGGUUCAAUGCCAGACGUUACUUGGAAUGUCAUUCUCGCAUCAAAAGGGGAUUUCCUUCUAAUUUCCUGCUUUUCGAUUAACUUCAGUAAGUGAUCCUUUUGAUUCAGUAGCUUCAAUUGCUUGUUGGUUUCUAUCUAUACUCAAUAGUAUAAUAUUGCAGUAGCCUCAAUUCUGGUUGGAAAUUUUGCUGCUUUCAUCACAAUUUUGGAUAUUUGAACUUUGAUUCUGUGAUAUUUGUAUAGAUAAACUCGAUAAUUUUGUUUAGCUCCAUCGCUGCUGGGCAUUUCCAUGUAUUUCAGAGGAAGUUACGAUUGAGGACUGUUAUUUGGUGUAGCAGUGUUUCUUGUUUUGAUCUCAUUCUCAAACCUUUGUUGAAUUGACCCUCGAUUGAUGGCGCACAAAUAGCCCAUGCGCAUACUUAAUCGUGCACAUACACUCUUCUGACUUAUCAAAUGAGUGAAAGUGAAGCAGAAUUAUCACUUAUCUCAGAGACUAUAACCUUGUUCAUCAAUCUUUACAUAUCACUUGGAAAUUCAUAUUUUACUCACCUUUUUUUCUCCUGCUCUGUCACAUUAUUUUGAUAAAUGGCAAGUGUUCGUGCUCCAUUGCCUCAUGUGGUAUUGGCACUUGACCGCUUUCCAGACAUAUGUAUCCAUUUAUGUACAAAUAAGGGGUGUAUAUGCUUUUUUAUAAUCAUGUGUGCGGUGUUUGCACAUUACAGAGAAGGAUAGUCUCCGAAUUUUCCAUAUUUCAGGUUGAUAAGUAACCUUUUCUGUCUAAUUUGCUUAUUUAUUGUUCGCCAACUCAAUAGAGCAAGGUGAGGGAGAAUGGAAAUGGGAAUGGGAAUGGGAAAUCUUCUUUGACUGACAUGGAAGGAAGAACUAAAGCUGGCGAAGCUCUCCGAGCCUUUGGGGUCGCAAAAUUUGGGAUUCAUGCCAAAGCAUGAUAUGUUGAAAUGCCACGGGAGGGGAUAGUAUCUACUUUGGAUGUAGCAGACCUUCGGAGCCUUGAUCGAUGUAUGGACAUUUUUUCUAUCAUUUCUCUCUUCUCUUGAAGAAUUUGCAAAACAAGAGAGCGAAAUUCUUCAUAAUUCUUGAGAGAGAGGAGAGAAACAACAUAAAAUUGCAGCAGUAAUCGAUUAGGGCAUCCAAGGCCAAUGCUGCUGCUGCAUCCAAAGUGGUCACUGCCCGUCUCGUAGCAUUUUUCCGAUCAAGCUUUACCGGUUCUUCUUCCCAGUACUCCAUGGCGCCUGCAGCUCAUGUUUCUUGUAAAUUUACACCUGAAAUAAUUGCGGAUUUUCAUUUUGGCGAAUCGCAAGUACCAAAGACAAUAAUUGAUUAUGAAGUUUAAAUAUGUUUAUGAAAGUAGUAUUUUAGUAGUAA
Molecule: RNA transcript, 2529 nt
Organism: Andrographis paniculata
Lineage: Eukaryota; Viridiplantae; Streptophyta; Magnoliopsida; Lamiales; Acanthaceae
Exons: 11
Source: RefSeq, a predicted model, not a curated record